RNAcentral lists this transfer RNA (73 nucleotides) under Ailuropoda melanoleuca (giant panda). It matches the Rfam family "tRNA". Rfam says of the family: Transfer RNA (tRNA) molecules are approximately 80 nucleotides in length. Their secondary structure includes four short double-helical elements and three loops (D, anti-codon, and T loops). Lineage: Eukaryota; Metazoa; Chordata; Mammalia; Carnivora; Ursidae. The record is from Rfam by way of RNAcentral.
ACGAGACUGGCUCAGUGGGUACAGCAUGGGAUUCUAGAUCUCAGGGUUGUGAGUUCAAGCCCCACGUUGGGCA